CAUUAGAUGACUGAAAGUAAGUGCUGGUCUCUUAAACCAUAUUAUAGUAGUUUAACAGCUACUUCUAAUGA
RNAcentral lists this transfer RNA (71 nucleotides) under Lycocerus asperipennis. Its description in RNAcentral is "tRNA-Lys". Lineage: Eukaryota; Metazoa; Arthropoda; Insecta; Coleoptera; Cantharidae. The record is from RNAcentral. RNAcentral also lists the same sequence under 4 other names.